AAGUCGAACGGUGUCUUCGGACACAGUGGCGGACGGGUGAGUAACGCCUUAGAAUCUGCCUCUAGGUUGGGGACAACAGUUGGAAACGACUGCUAAUACCCGAUGUGCCGUAAGGUAAAAGAUUUAUUGCCUGGAGAGGAGCUCGCGUCUGAUUAGCUAGUUGGUGGGGUAAAAGCCCACCAAGGCAGCGAUCAGUAGCUGGUCUGAGAGGAUGAGCAGCCACACUGGGACUGAGACACGGCCCAGACUCCUACGGGAGGCAGCAGUGGGGAAUUUUCCGCAAUGGGCGAAAGCCUGACGGAGCAAUACCGCGUGAGGGAGGAAGGCCUUUGGGUUGUAAACCUCUUUUCUCAGGGAAGAAGAUCUGACGGUACCUGAGGAAUAAGCAUCGGCUAACUCCGUGCCAGCAGCCGCGGUAAUACGGAGGAUGCAAGCGUUAUCCGGAAUCAUUGGGCGUAAAGCGUCCGCAGGUGGUUUUUCAAGUCUGCUGUUAAAGACUGGAGCUCAACUCCGGAAAGGCAGUGGAAACUGGAAGACUAGAGUUCGGUAGGGGUAGCGGGAAUUCCCAGUGUAGCGGUGAAAUGCGUAGAUAUUGGGAAGAACAUCGGUGGCGAAGGCGCGCUACUGGACCGAAACUGACACUCAGGGACGAAAGCUAGGGGAGCGAAAGGGAUUAGAUACCCCUGUAGUCCUAGCUGUAAACGAUGGAAACUAGGUGUGGCUUGUAUCGACCCGAGCCGUGCCGUAGCUAACGCGUUAAGUUUCCCGCCUGGGGAGUACGCACGCAAGUGUGAAACUCAAAGGAAUUGACGGGGGCCCGCACAAACGGUGGAGUAUGUGGUUUAAUUC
This 849-nucleotide ribosomal RNA is filed under the name uncultured Chroococcales cyanobacterium. Its description in RNAcentral is "bacterial SSU rRNA". It matches the Rfam family "Bacterial small subunit ribosomal RNA", at positions 59 to 952 of the family's 1533-position model. The record is from RNAcentral. Lineage: Bacteria; Bacillati; Cyanobacteriota; Cyanophyceae; Chroococcales.